Molecule: ribosomal RNA, 483 nt
Filed under: uncultured bacterium
Lineage: Bacteria
Description: partial 16S ribosomal RNA
Rfam family: Bacterial small subunit ribosomal RNA
Source: RNAcentral
GACGAACGCUGGCGGCGUGCUUAACACAUGCAAGUCGAACGCUGAAGCUCAGCUUUUGUUGGGUGGAUGAGUGGCGAACGGGUGAGUAACACGUGAGUAACCUGCCCCCUUCUUUGGGAUAACGCCCGGAAACGGGUGCUAAUACUGGAUAUUCACUGGUCUUCGCAUGGGGGUUGGUGGAAAGGGCUUUUCUGGUGGGGGAUGGGCUCGCGGCCUAUCAGCUUGUUGGUGGGGUGAUGGCCUACCAAGGCUUUGACGGGUAGCCGGCCUGAGAGGGUGACCGGUCACAUUGGGACUGAGAUACGGCCCAGACUCCUACGGGAGGCAGCAGUGGGGAAUAUUGCACAAUGGGCGCAAGCCUGAUGCAGCGACGCCGCGUGAGGGGUGGAGGCCUUCGGGUUGUGAACCUCUUUCGCUCAUGGUCAAGCCGCAACAAUGGUUGUGGUGAGGGUAGUGGGUAAAGAAGCGCCGGCUAACUACGUG